GCCCGGAUGGCGAAAUUGGUAGACGCACCAGCUUCAGGUGCUGGCGGCUGAAAGGCCGUGGAAGUUCGAGUCUUCUUCCGGGCA
RNAcentral lists this transfer RNA (84 nucleotides) under Candidatus Aalborgicola bjergmarkensis. RNAcentral describes it as "tRNA-Leu". It matches the Rfam family "tRNA". From Rfam's summary of the family: Transfer RNA (tRNA) molecules are approximately 80 nucleotides in length. Their secondary structure includes four short double-helical elements and three loops (D, anti-codon, and T loops). Further hydrogen bonds mediate the characteristic L-shaped molecular structure. tRNAs have two regions of fundamental functional importance: the anti-codon, which is responsible for specific mRNA codon recognition, and the 3' end, to which the tRNAs corresponding amino acid is attached (by aminoacyl-tRNA synthetases). tRNAs cope with the degeneracy of the genetic code in two manners: having more than one tRNA (with a specific anti-codon) for a particular amino acid; and 'wobble' base-pairing, i.e. permitting non-standard base-pairing at the 3rd anti-codon position. Lineage: Bacteria; Pseudomonadati; Pseudomonadota; Betaproteobacteria; Burkholderiales; Comamonadaceae. The record is from RNAcentral.